GAUGAACGCUGGCGGCGUGCCUAAUACAUGCAAGUCGAGCGAACAGACGAGGAGCUUGCUCCUCUGACGUUAGCGGCGGACGGGUGAGUAACACGUGGAUAACCUACCUAUAAGACUGGGAUAACUUCGGGAAACCGGAGCUAAUACCGGAUAAUAUAUUGAACCGCAUGGUUCAAUAGUGAAAGACGGUUUUGCUGUCACUUAUAGAUGGUUCCGCGCCGCAUUAGCUAGUUGGUAAGGUAACGGCUUACCAAGGCAACGAUGCGUAGCCGACCUGAGAGGGGGAUAGGCCACACUGGAACUGAGACACGGUCCAGACUCCUACGGGAGGCAGCAGUAGGGAAUCUUCCGCAAUGGGCGAAAGCCUGACGGAGCAACGCCGCGUGAGUGAUGAAGGUCUUCGGAUCGUAAAACUCUGUUAUUAGGGAAGAACAAAUGUGUAAGUAACUAUGCACGUCUUGACGGUACCUAAUCAGAAAGCCACGGCUAACUACGUG
RNAcentral lists this ribosomal RNA (497 nucleotides) under uncultured bacterium. Its description in RNAcentral is "partial 16S ribosomal RNA". It matches the Rfam family "Bacterial small subunit ribosomal RNA", at positions 28 to 507 of the family's 1533-position model. The record is from RNAcentral.